This 301-nucleotide ribosomal RNA is filed under the name uncultured bacterium. RNAcentral's name for it is "partial 16S ribosomal RNA". It matches the Rfam family "Bacterial small subunit ribosomal RNA", at positions 509 to 807 of the family's 1533-position model. The record is from RNAcentral.
CAGCCGCCACGGUAAUACGUAGGGUGCAAGCGUUAAUCGGAAUUACUGGGCGUAAAGCGUGCGCAGGCGGUUAUAUAAGUCAGAUGUGAAAUCCCCGGGCUCAACCUGGGAACUGCAUUUGAGACUGUAUGGCUAGAGUGUGUCAGAGGGGGGUAGAAUUCCACGUGUAGCAGUGAAAUGCGUAGAUAUGUGGAGGAAUACCGAUGGCGAAGGCAGCCCCCUGGGAUAACACUGACGCUCAUGCACGAAAGCGUGGGGAGCAAACAGGAUUAGAUACCCCCGUAGUCCCUGUCUCUUAUAC